Triticum dicoccoides is the source of this 4998-nucleotide RNA transcript. It is a transcript of the gene named F-box protein At3g17710-like, with no coding region annotated. NCBI's taxonomy places the organism in Eukaryota, Viridiplantae, Streptophyta, Magnoliopsida, Poales, Poaceae. The transcript has 6 exons. The record is from RefSeq and is a predicted model, not a curated record.
CGGCCGUCCCCGCCCCCUUCCCGGCCCGCAGCUGCUGGUGAGGUGGCCGUGGCCGCGGCUCCGGCGGUCCGGCGCCCCCUUGCCGGCCCUCUGCUACUGGUGAGCACCAGCUCCGGCGGUCCGGCGCCCCCUUGCCGGCCCUCUGCUACUGGCUUUCUGGUGUUGCAUAUCUUUGGAGUCAUCAUCGUCGAAGGCAUUGGUCUGUGAUUUCGUCGCUGUUUGACUACUUCGUCUACAGUCGAGGAUUUUGGUGAGAUCUCCUCUCCACCGCCGUCACUCCCACUGCCACUCCUCUCUACCACUGCUGCACGGAUCCAUGGCGGAGUCAGCAAGUCUCCUCCAUGGCCUCCAGGAUGACAUCUUCAUGUUUGAGAUCCUCGUUCGCCUGCCCCCCAAAUCCCUCCUUCGCUGCCGUGCAGUCUGCCACGCCUGGCGCGGCGCCACCUCCGACCGCGACUUCCUUGUCGCCCACCACGCCCGCCAGCCCUCAUUCCCCCUCCUUUAUGCUGAAAUUGACGACCCAUCGUCCAUAGACAUCCUCAUCCCCUUCCCCUCCGACCACCGGGCAGACGACAAGCUCCAGUCCGUCGCCCGACUUCAUGGUGCCCACGACCUCAUUCCCAUGGCCUGCUGUGACGGCCUCCUUGUCUUCACCACCUGCGGGGCUGAACGCCUCUCCAUCUGCAACCCGGCCACUCGUCAGUAUGCACGUCUCAACCAGCUUGAUGGCUUCACGGUUUUGGGGGUGUACCCGCACAGCCCUACCAGCGAGUACCGACAACUGCUCUGUGUCUGCCCGGAAACUGAUGCUCAAAGUGGCUUUUACGUCUUCACAUUAGCCUCUGACCAGCAGCCGAGGCCCAUCGGGGCGUGCCCUCCUGCCAAGGAACUGUUGCGACACGAACCCGUCCUUUUCCGUGGUAGCCUGCAUUGGGGCACACAGCGACUGAUGAUGGUAUUUGACACCACUGCUGAGUUGUUCCGGCACAUGCGCUCUCCGAUUGUUCCCGGCCAUGCCAAGUCUGACCUGUUUGAGAUGGAUGACUUGCUUGGCCUGUACAUUCUUAAUCAAGAAGAGACCCUUGUUCAUGUCUGGGUGAUGCAGGACUACGAAGCCCAAGUCUAGGCCUCCAAAGCCCGGGUUCAAUUGCCGAUUGCAGAGCUAAGUGUCCGCGGUUUUUGGUAUGUGCAUGUUGCAUAUUGGGAUGGUGAUGUGCACGUGCUGGUCAAUAAUGACAAGGACUCGCUACUUCAGUUUGACAUCGAUGGCAAGUUGGUUGCUAGUCUCCACCGCAGAUUUCUCUGCCAUAGUGGACUUCGGCUCAAACAAUCUCUAGUUUCACAUACCUGCUUUCCGGCACCAGAGGAUUAUGUUCACCUUUCAUCUGACUAGAUUGUUAUGUUCUGAAUAUUAUUUAGCUUUUCAUCAGAGCCUGUAUCAAGGUCUCAAUUUGUUCACUUUUGCCCCCCCCCCCCCUGUAGCGGUCUCUACUUAAUACUUGAUCGUUAGCAAUCUAGAUGGCUCUUGGUCUCUGUUCAUUGAACCGAAUAAUUGACCUUCCCUUUUUAUUGAGGUCUUCAUUUUUAGAGUUUACCCAGUUAUCCUUUUAAUACUAAAUAUUUAGAAAAUGUACAGUUGAUUCAUGUUUCUUUGUUUUGUUUUAGCAAAUGGUGAAAUAAGGCAGAUUAUUCUCCUUGUUGACUAGCUAGUUGCACCUGAUUUCAGAAGAGAUUGCAACACUACUUAAAUUGAAUGAUUGCAUUAUAGUUAACUUUCAACUCAAUAUGAUGUUGCCGUUCAUUCAUGUUCAUGAUUCCAUUAACAUCUGGUCAGGUAUUGAAACAUAAUGUUAUAAUUCUGCCUUUGUGUUGUAUCGUUUAGAAUUACAUAUAUAACUUCACUUUAACUACUAACCACUUUAAGGAAUCAUUGCUUCAUGUGAUCUUCGAUUUUAAAAUAUGCUCGAGAAAUGGAACUUGGUACUAAUGAGCAGAAGAUUAAAAACUGGGUCCACCAUUAGCCGACUAGUUCCAUUUUGAUGUAUAUACGAGUUAUGAUCAAUGAUCUGUGAAUGUUUCAUGGUUGCUUGAAAUUUAUACUUGUGUGAAUAUCCUUUUGGGAUGAAGUAGCUAGCAUGAUGAUGCCACAACUAUUCACUCAUUUUGGCCGACGUUCGAAAUUGUUGCUAAUUGACUUGCCCCAUGCCUACCCCAACUUGCUUGGGACUAAAGGCUUUGUUGUUGUUGUUGUUGACUUGCCCCAUGCCUCUGUUUUUCUAUCUGAAGAAUUGACUUGGAUUUUUUUAUCAGUGUCUUCUUCUUUCUUAGAGAUCAUCCAGUGAUUUUCUUAUAAUACUAAAUAUUUAGCCAAUAUACAUCAGUUUCCUGUUUCCAAGUAUUGUUCUAGCCCACUAUUAAAUGUGGCCAUCAUCCUCUCAAUUGUUUCAGUAGCAAGUAGAACCUCAUUGGUGUUCUUUUUUGACACCUGAAACAGUAGGAGAGGCUCCUACUGUAUAUAUUGAAUUAAAGUAGAACCUCAUUGUUAGAGGAGCUUUAUGCGCUGAUUGUUAAAUUGAAUGCAAUGAUCACAUUACAGUCAGCUUGUCAGUGAAAUGUUUUGUUGCAAUUCAUUCUUCUUCAUCCGGCCAUUGCACCUGGCUCGGUAUUAAUUGCCGUUAUUGAUCACAGAUCAUAUGAUGUGCCAUUCCUGCAGGGUAAUUCCUUAGUUGUUCACAUUAGUUGUAGGCUACUAAGAUAUUAUAAAUAGUGGAGAAAUUCUUUGGAGUAUGGUUACAGUUUACAAUGUUGAUUCAGUAUACAAGUUUAAUACUCGUGAACAGCUGAAACUGUAGUUAUUGUUCUUGUACCACAGCAACAACGCGGGCAUCCUUGACUGUAUUCUUUGUUUUGCGGAGCUAGCUUCUUUUAACCAAUUAUGUGGUACCCUUGGCUUAAGAACGGAAAGAAAUCUACAAGUAAGGCCAUUGGUUUAGGAGCUCAUAGCUGGGGUGAGGUUAACUUAAGCUGAGAGUCAGUUAAGAACACCCAGCCAAAACAGUGAAACAUGUGUGAGAAACAACAGAACCAAACCAAAAGGAGGAAGACCAGGGAAAAAUGGUUCAAACACUGGGUGGAAAGAAUACUAGGUGAAAAAUCAGAUGCAAAAUGGUGGGAAACAAAAAAAAUUGUAGAUUAGAAAAUAAACAAAGAAAAAACUAGCGGUACUUUAAAGUUCCUAGGAUUGUUCAGCAGUACUUGCUAGGAGGUUUUCACCCUGUUUCUUGAGUAGAUAUGUACCUAGCAAAAGAAGUACCUAUCAUCCAAAUUAACAUGCCACGGUCCAAAUUAACUUAACCUUUGCUUUCCCAGUUAUCUAGAGGUCCGAAUUAACAUGUACCUAGUUUUUAUUGAGGUUUACUUUUCUAGAGAUUAUCCACUUGUCUUUUUUAAUACUAAUUAUUUAGCAAAUGCAAUUUUGGUUCCCAUUUUGUGUUUUGUUUUAGCCGACGGUGAAAUGAGGCAGAUUUUCCUCCUUGUUGGCUAGCAAGUUGCACCUGAUUUUUAUAAGAGCGUGGCGUGCUAGUUAAAUUGAAUGACUGCAUUAUAGUCAACUUUCAAGUGAAAUGUUCUGUUUGUGUAGCAACGCUCGUUGCGAUGUCCCUCCUCGUCCUAGUCCCUGGUCCUCGAGACAGACAGAGAGAGAGCUGUGGGGGACGGGGAGGGAACCGAGGUGGAGGAGGAAGCCCGGAGCCUGCGUGAAAAGAAAGGACCUCGAAAAGCGCGCCAGAGCUCUCCCUCAUCCUCGUGAGCAGCGGCGCCGACCAGUUGCUCAACUCUUUUCUUGGCUCCUUCUCGGUUCUGUCAGCGGCGACCGGCGGGCGACCAGUCGUCUAGCGGCUCGUGGCGAGCUCUCCUCCUCUCCUGGUCACUAGUGCGCGCGCCAUGAUGGACCAGGGGCACCUGGACUUCAUCAUGCGCCGCCACCACCACCAGCAGGGCGGCAUGGGGUUUGCUCCCGUACGUCGACCGCGGCGACAGCGAGGAGGCGCUGGCCGGGGUCGUCGGAGUCGGAGCCGGCAAGAGGGCCCGCGCCGCUGAGGUGCACAACCUCUCCGUGAAGAUCAACGAGAAGAUGAAGGCAACUCUUACUCCAGCAAGACGGACAAAGCCUCCAUGCUCGACGACGCCAUCGAGUACCUCAAGCACCUCCAGCUCCAAGUGCUCCCCUGAAUUUUCUCAACAGAAAAGUUUAUGCUGUGUCAUCCCCUGAAAAAUCAUACUAUGUGCUGGUCAACACUGCUGAACGAAAAAUGUGAAUAUGUGACAAGGUUGAAAGCCCUUAAUUUGGCAACAACAACAACAAAAAGCCCCCCUUAAUUUGGUAACUGUUCUGUUGAGUGCAGAGUAUAAGCUUGCGAUGAAGCCCCCCUUCCUCUGCAAAUGCACAACAGCAAACUGUCAGUACUUCAUUCCCAUAUAUAGUGUUUCCACUUGUUUUCUGUGUUUUCUUAUCCAUGCCAGAUGAUCUUUCAAGAGGAGGCAAUGUUGAAGCAUCGGCUAAGUUCAACUCAAGAGACCACCUCCGUGCCAUGCCAGGAAAUGAGAUGAAGCCUGUUAGGCCUGCAGCGAAGGCUGGUCAUUUCGAUGCAUGUUCAAUCUGGAAAAAUCAAUCGCCAAAUAAUCCGGAAAGCGUUCUGUUUGCGCCUCACUUGCAUAGGUAAUUUUUCAUCCUGGCAUGUAUGCAGUCAUAACGGGAGCGGAUCCUUUCAGAAAAAAAAACUGUUGAGAGGAUUUUUUUUCUCUUUUUGGUGAGUCAUGGUGCUAUUUUUCAGUGUAAGCAUUUUUUAGGAAGUUAAGGAGUCGGAAGACUUGAAGUAUGAUCCAUCUGCUUGCUUGUUGUAAGUUGUAACCUGUACUUCAGUACCUGUUUUAGGACUCCUAAAAAAUUAGGUUGGAGUCACUGAUUUUGAUCUAAUAGUAACCUUUAUUUUUGGUUUA